GUGCUCAUCUCCACUCAACAUGACGAGACCGUGACUAACGAUGAGAUAGCUGCUGAUUUGAAGGAGCAUGUCAUCAAGCCGGUUAUACCCGAGAAGUACCUUGAUGAGAAAACCAUUUUCCACCUUAACCCGUCAGGCCGUUUCGUCAUUGGAGGUCCCCAUGGUGAUGCUGGUCUCACUGGUCGCAAGAUUAUCAUUGAUACUUAUGGAGGAUGGGGUGCUCAUGGUGGUGGGGCUUUCUCUGGUAAAGAUCCUACCAAGGUGGAUAGAAGCGGGGCUUACAUUGUGAGGCAGGCUGCAAAGAGCAUUGUUGCUAAUGGACUAGCUAGGAGGUGCAUCGUGCAAGUCUCCUACGCCAUUGGUGUACCUGAACCAUUGUCUGUAUUUGUGGACACUUACGGUACUGGAAAGAUCCCAGACAAGGAAAUUCUCAAGAUUGUGAAGGAGACCUUUGACUUCAGACCAGGAAUGAUUGCCAUCAAUCUUGAUCUUAAGAGAGGGGGCAAUAGCAGGUUCUUGAAGACUGCUGCGUAUGGUCAUUUUGGUCGG
Molecule: long non-coding RNA, 549 nt
Filed under: Gossypium barbadense (sea-island cotton)
Lineage: Eukaryota; Viridiplantae; Streptophyta; Magnoliopsida; Malvales; Malvaceae
Description: long non-coding RNA (GBAR_LNC001185)
Source: RNAcentral